GACGAACGCUGGCGGCGUGCUUAACACAUGCAAGUCGAGCGGUAAGGCCCUUUCGGGGGUACGCGAGCGGCGAACGGGUGAGUAACACGUGGGUGACCUGCCCUCAGCUCUGGGAUAAGCCCGGGAAACUGGGUCUAAUACCGGAUAUGACUCCAUGACGCAUGUUGUGGGGUGGAAAGCCUUGUGCGGCUGAGGAUGGGCCCGCGGCCUAUCAGCUUGUUGGUGGGGUGAUGGCCUACCAAGGCGACGACGGGUAGCCGGCCUGAGAGGGCGACCGGCCACACUGGGACUGAGACACGGCCCAGACUCCUACGGGAGGCAGCAGUGGGGAAUCUUGCGCAAUGGGCGAAAGCCUGACGCAGCGACGCCGCGUGAGGGAUGACGGCCU
RNAcentral lists this ribosomal RNA (388 nucleotides) under uncultured bacterium. RNAcentral's name for it is "bacterial SSU rRNA". It matches the Rfam family "Bacterial small subunit ribosomal RNA", at positions 28 to 417 of the family's 1533-position model. The record is from RNAcentral.